This 521-nucleotide ribosomal RNA is filed under the name uncultured bacterium. Its description in RNAcentral is "bacterial SSU rRNA". It matches the Rfam family "Bacterial small subunit ribosomal RNA", at positions 32 to 523 of the family's 1533-position model. The record is from RNAcentral.
AAUCAACGCUGGCGGCGUGCCUCAGACAUGCAAGUCGAACGAGAAAGUUUCCUUCGGGAGACGAGUACAGUGGCGUCCGGGUGAGUAACACGUGGGUAAUUUACCUUUGGGUGGGGAAUAGCAGCCGGAAACGGCUAUUAAUACCGCAUAAUGCAGCGGCUCGACAUCGAGACAGUUGUUAAAGCGGGGAUCUGACAAGGACCUCGCGCCUAAAGAGAAGCCUGCGGCGGAUUAGCUAGUUGGUAAGGUAAUGGCUUACCAAGGCGACGAUCCGUAACCGGCCUGAGAGGGCGGUCGGUCACACUGACACUGACAUACGGGUCAGACUCCUACGGGAGGCAGCAGUCGGGAAUUUUGGGCAAUGGGCGAAAGCCUGACCCAGCAACGCCGCGUGAAGGAUGAAAUCCCUCGGGAUGUAAACUUCGCAAGAACGGGAAGAAUAAGCGAGAGUUAAUAUCUUUCGUGAUGACGGUACCGUUUGUAAGCUCCGGCUAACUCCGUGCCAGCAGCCGCCGCCGUAA